UGUGCACCAGUGGGGUCCUUCGGCCUGGCCUGCACCCUCUCACAAUCCAGGACCCCUCAGGGGAUGUCAGAGAGCCAGUUUCAGCCAGAUCCCUGCAGGCCAGGCCGAGGGACCCCACUGGUGCACG
This 127-nucleotide microRNA precursor is filed under the name Myotis davidii. Its description in RNAcentral is "mir-9193 microRNA precursor family". Lineage: Eukaryota; Metazoa; Chordata; Mammalia; Chiroptera; Vespertilionidae. The record is from Rfam by way of RNAcentral.